Vigna umbellata (rice bean) is the source of this 1494-nucleotide non-coding RNA. Lineage: Eukaryota; Viridiplantae; Streptophyta; Magnoliopsida; Fabales; Fabaceae. The record is from RefSeq and is a predicted model, not a curated record.
GGUAAAGGGAGAUUCUGGUGAUAGAAAACAAAAUAGGAAAGUAAAAGAAAACAGCAAUAUUAAGUAUGCAGUGCAAUAUGCCAAUUCUUAUUUACAAAACAACAAAACUGGACAAUAGCAGCUUCACACCCUUCUCUUCUUCCAAUUAACCCCACCACCAGGACCCAUGGUGGAAUCCUCCGAAUCACCGUCGAAGCGACGGCCGCCACAUGCCGGUGAUGACAGAAUUAGUCAGCUUCCGGACGUGCUGCUUCUCCAAAUCCUCUCUCUUCUUCCAACCAAACAGGCAGUGGUCACUGGCAUUCUCGCGAAGCGGUGGCGGCCACUGUGGCCGGCCGUGUCGGUCCUCGACCUCGACGACGAGUCCUCUCCGGAGUCCCGCCUCGGUCCCGCGGGCUUCGCGGAGUUUGUGUACUCGGUGCUUCUACUGCACGACGCGCCGGCAAUCCAGCGGUUCCGGCUCCGUUGUGCGAAUCCGAACUCCUCCGCGCGCGACAUCGCGACGUGGCUGUGUCAUGUGGCGCGGCGGAGGGUGGAGAGCGUGGAGCUCUCGCUUUCGCUGUCGCGCUACGUGGCGCUCCCGCGGCGCCUCUUCAACUGCGACACUGUUUCAGCCAUGAAGCUCAACGGCGUGUUCUUCAACGCGCUCGCCUCGUUCUCCGUGCGCUUGCCUCUGCUGAGGGCUUUGCACGUGGGGGAUAGGGUUCUGUUCGGGUGCCACGAUUACGUGGUGAAGCUUCUUGCUGGGUGCCCCGCGCUGGAGGACUUGGUGCUGGAAUCCACUUACAACGAUGCUUGCGGAGGUGUCGUUUGUGCCGAGGGCAAUUUCGAGCUUAGUUUGAAACACUUGACGCGUGCGAAAAUUGGGUUUUCGUGGAAGGAGAGGUGCCUGAAGUCCAUGCUUCUCAUUUUCCAAGCGCUUUCUCACGUUAGGUGCCUCUCGCUUUCUCCCUGUACAGUUGCGUUUAAGUCUAUGACAGAUCUGCAAAAUGGGAAAUCUCUGAAGUCAGUUCAAAUUGAUCAGAGGCAAGUGGAGAGUGCAGACACUUCACCCAUUGGCUUUCUUGGCUGGGUAUCACCUGUAGACUUAUCUCCAUACCCAUCACCAGAAUGGUCAAUUGAAACAGAUUUCACAUUUUUAAUGCCUAACUAACAUUAUGUUUUAGGAUUAUGCUGUCCCAGCAGCCACCUUUCUUAUCAAACAGAGUCUUGCAGCAUCCUUGGGCAAUCAAAUUCCAUUUAGAAUGCUUACAACUCAGAUUCCGGAUUUCAAUUCACCAGUGCUCGUUAUCCUUUCUUGUUAACUUUUCAAGUCCUUCAAAUUUGAACUCAGAUGAAAGGGCCGCAUAUUUAUUAGUGUUUGAAGCACGCUUCUGCCAUUGAUAUUCCGGUGUUUGACAAAUUAACCCAGCUGGAAAUUUCAUUUGGAAGCUAUUCAUGGGAUUUGUUAGCAAACUUGCUUCAACGUUCCCACAAGCUGGAAGUUCUUAUCAU